AUCAAUAAGGCAAAUCAACCAGGGGCUGAAACUGUGAUCCAAAAUGAACUUUUCCUCCUUUAAGUUGUUUAUCUCAGGAUUUUGUCACAUCAAUGGAAACCUGACUAACACCCAAUAUGGUGCGUCUUUCGAGAGAAGGAGGAGCACAGGAAGAGCUGAGAUCAGAGUGAAAGUGUGCCCUAUUCGGAGAAGCUCCUCAGAAAGACACUAUGGGGAAAGGGAGGCAGUCAUACAUGGAGUAAUGGAGAUCUGAUUUGAACUUUAUCAGGAAAGAAGGAAGGAAAAGGGAGAAGGAAGACAGACCCCGCAGGGCUGUGGAGCAUGGACUGGGCYGCAGUGAGGAGACCAGAACUCUCUGGAAGACAUUUGGGAAACGACUAAGGCAAGGUGGAUUCCAUCAUGUCAUCUGCAAAUACUAAAGAUCUCCCUAAGUUACUGAAGACCUCGCUAAAUAGCUGAG
Molecule: long non-coding RNA, 460 nt
Organism: Urocitellus parryii (Arctic ground squirrel)
Lineage: Eukaryota; Metazoa; Chordata; Mammalia; Rodentia; Sciuridae
Source: RefSeq, a predicted model, not a curated record